RNAcentral lists this ribosomal RNA (215 nucleotides) under uncultured fungus. Its description in RNAcentral is "partial small subunit ribosomal RNA". The stretch from base 47 to 215 matches the Rfam family "Eukaryotic small subunit ribosomal RNA", at positions 693 to 864 of the family's 1831-position model. Lineage: Eukaryota; Fungi. The record is from RNAcentral.
GAAUCAGCACGUCGGUCGUGCCUUCGGUAUGUACUGGCGUUGCUGGUUUCUCCCUUCUGAUGAGCCGUGAUGCCAUUAAUUUGGUGUUAUGAGGAGUCAGGACUGUUACUUUGAAAAAAUUAGAGUGUUUAAAGCAGGCAAUCGCUUGAAUACAUUAGCAUGGAAUAAUGGAAUAGGGCUGCUGCCCCAUUUUGUUGGUUUCUGGGACCGUAGCA